UCCUAUGCGAUGGGGGGACGGAGAAGGUUAGGUCAGCCGGGUGUUGGACGUCCCGGUUCAAGCGUGUAGUCGUGCCCUGUAGGCAAAUCCGCAGGGCUUAGAUGAGGCGUGAUAACGAGUGGCCUUGUGCCGCGAAGUGAUUGAUACCAUGCUUCCAAGAAAAGCCUCUAAGCUUCAGUUACAAAGAGACCGUACCGCAAACCGACACAGGUGGGCAGGAUGAGAAUUCUAAGGCGCUUGAGAGAACUCAGGAGAAGGAACUCGGCAAAUUAGCACCGUAACUUCGGGAGAAGGUGCGCCCUGGUAGCGUGAAAGCCCUCGCGGCUGGAGCGUGAAAGGGUUGCAGUGAAAUGGUGGCUGCGACUGUUUAAUAAAAACACAGCACUCUGCAAACACGAAAGUGGACGUAUAGGGUGUGACGCCUGCCCGGUGCCGGAAGGUUAAGUGAUGGGGUGCAAGCUCUUGAUCGAAGCCCCGGUAAACGGCGGCCGUAAUGAUAACGGUCCUAAGGUAGCGAAAUUCCUUGUCGGGUAAGUUCCGACCUGCACGAAUGGCGUAACGAUGGCCACACUGUCUCCUCCUGAGACUCAGCGAAGUUGAAAUGUUUGUGAAGAUGCAAUCUCCCCGCGGCAGGACGGAAAGACCCCAUGAACCUUUACUGUAGCUUUGCAUUGGACUUUGAACCGGUCUGUGUAGGAUAGGUGGGAGGCUUUGAAGCUGGGACGCUAGUUCUGGUGGAGCCAACCUUGAAAUACCACCCUGGUUUGUUUGAGGUUCUAACCAUGGCCCGUGAAUCCGGGUCUGGGACCGUGCAUGGUAGGCAGUUUGACUGGGGCGGUCUCCUCCCAAAGUGUAACGGAGGAGUACGAAGGUACGCUAGGUACGGUCGGACAUCGUGCUAAUAGUGCAAUGGCAUAAGCGUGCUUGACUGCGAGACCCACAAGUCGAGCAGGUACGAAAGUAGGUCAUAGUGAUCCGGUGGUUCUGUAUGGAAGGGCCAUCGCUCAACGGAUAAAAGGUACUCUGGGGAUAACAGGCUGAUACCGCCCAAGAGUUCAUAUCGACGGCGGUGUUUGGCACCUCGAUGUCGGCUCAUCACAUCCUGGGGCUGUAGCCGGUCCCAAGGGUAUGGCUGUUCGCCAUUUAAAGUGGUACGUGAGCUGGGUUUAAAACGUCGUGAGACAGUUUGGUCCCUAUCUGCCGUGGGCGCUGGAAAUUUGAAGGGACCUGCUCCUAGUACGAGAGGACCGGAGUGGACUAACCUCUGGUGUACCGGUUAUGACGCCAGUCGUAUCGCCGGGUAGCUAAGUUGGGAAGAGAUAAACGCUGAAAGCAUCUAAGCGUGAAACUCGCCUUAAGAUAAGAUUUCCCCGGGGACUUGAUCCCCCUGAAGGGUCGUCGAAGACCACGACGUUGAUAGGCUGGGUGUGGAAGCGCAGCAAUGCGUUAAGCUAACCAGUACUAAUUGCCCGUGUGGCUUGACU
This 1484-nucleotide ribosomal RNA is filed under the name metagenome. Its description in RNAcentral is "bacterial LSU rRNA". It matches the Rfam family "Bacterial large subunit ribosomal RNA", at positions 1455 to 2925 of the family's 2925-position model. The record is from RNAcentral.